AACCCCAUUUUCACUUUGCCACCUGGAUUCUUAAUGUCCUCAGUGGUCAUUCACAUGGGGGAAAUUAUUUCAUCCUUAAGCACCCCAGUCUAACUUUUGUUUGACCUGGGGCUGUACUGAGGGGACAGCC
Platichthys flesus (European flounder) is the source of this 130-nucleotide small nucleolar RNA. RefSeq annotates it as small nucleolar RNA SNORA27. Lineage: Eukaryota; Metazoa; Chordata; Actinopteri; Pleuronectiformes; Pleuronectidae. The record is from RefSeq and is a predicted model, not a curated record. The transcript has a single exon.